Molecule: ribosomal RNA, 498 nt
Filed under: uncultured bacterium
Lineage: Bacteria
Description: partial 16S ribosomal RNA
Rfam family: Bacterial small subunit ribosomal RNA
Source: RNAcentral
GACGAACGCUGGCGGCGUGCCUAAUACAUGCAAGUCGAACGAGAGCGACCGGUGCUUGCACUGGUCAAUCUAGUGGCGAACGGGUGAGUAACACGUGGGUAACCUGCCCAUCAGAGGGGGAUAACAUCCGGAAACGGAUGCUAAAACCGCAUAGGUCUUCGAGCCGCAUGGCUUGAAGAGGAAAAGAGGCGCAAGCUUCUGCUGAUGGAUGGACCCGCGGUGCAUUAGCUAGUUGGUGAGGUAACGGCUCACCAAGGCCGGGAUGCAUAGCCGACCUGAGGGGGGGAUCGGCCACAUGGGGACUGAGACACGGCCCAAACUCCUACGGGAGGCAGCAGUAGGGAAUCUUCCGCAAUGGACGCAAGUCUGACGGAGCAACGCCGCGUGAGUGAAGAAGGUGUUCGGAUCGUAAAACUCUGUUGUUAGAGAAGAACAAGUGCUAGAGUAACUGUUAGCGCCUUGACGGUAUCUAACCAGAAAGCCACGGCUAACUACGUG